GCGUCCAUAGCUCAACUGGACAGAGCAACGGCCUUCUAAGCCGUGGGUCGGGGGUUCGAGUCCCUCUGGACGCA
This 74-nucleotide transfer RNA is filed under the name Spirochaetota bacterium. RNAcentral describes it as "Spirochaetes bacterium tRNA-Arg". It matches the Rfam family "tRNA". Rfam says of the family: Transfer RNA (tRNA) molecules are approximately 80 nucleotides in length. RNAcentral also lists the same sequence under 1 other name. Lineage: Bacteria; Pseudomonadati; Spirochaetota. The record is from RNAcentral.